GGCGUCUGCCUCUCGACUGGAUUUUUAAAAUUAGUGAAAUAUAUUCUGACAAGCUUAGAACUGCUAUAAAAAUGGUUAUUUAUGUUUAAGUUGAGUGUGUAAACGAUUCAAUGCAUAAAAUAGUUGAAAUAAAGCAGAGAAAGUCGUUAAUUAAAUUUGGCCAUGGUGA
Haliotis rubra (blacklip abalone) is the source of this 169-nucleotide long non-coding RNA. RefSeq lists it as uncharacterized. NCBI's taxonomy places the organism in Eukaryota, Metazoa, Mollusca, Gastropoda, Lepetellida, Haliotidae. The transcript has 3 exons. The record is from RefSeq and is a predicted model, not a curated record.